CUCUCUCUGUGCCCCUCCUCCAUUGCCGAUGUCGUGGUGGUGGUGUGCCUCCUUCUCUUCAGCCUUGGCACGACGCAUCGGCAUGGAAUUCCACUGCAAUUGAACCAACCCUCCAUUUCUCCUCCGAAUAUCUCAAUGCUGAGGGUCUAGACCCACGGAACACGUCGACCGUCUGUCACGUAUUCUUCUCAUCGUUGGCCUCGCUGCGCACCCGCCCCUUCGUGUUGUUGGUGAUUUUGCAAUCGUGCUGCUGCUAGAGAGGAGCAGCGAAAGCCGGGAGCUAUGGCUUCCGAUCUCCUUCUGUGGUUAAUCUGCUUCCUCGCCGUUGUUUCGUUGCUUGGAAUCCUUGUUUACCAGCUGAUGUGCUUGUCUGACCUUGAGUUCGAUUACAUCAACCCAUUCGACUCCGCAUCCCGCAUCAAUGCUUUUAUUGUCCCUGAAUUUCUGAUUCAUGGAGCCCUGGGGUGCAUCUGCCUUCUUAGCGGUCAUUGGUUGCUGUUCUUGCUCAACGUUCCUUUGGCCUAUUACCAUAUAAAUUUGUACCUGAAGAAAGAACAUCUGCUGGAUGUCACGGAAAUUUUUAAUCUUCUGGAUCGAGAGAAGAAGUAUCGGCUAGCCAAGUUGGCAUUUUAUCUACUGCUCUUCUUCAUUGUUAUUUACAAGUUGGUGUUGGCAGCCGUCUACUUAAUUCUUGAGCAUGAGGAAUCUGUCCAGUCAGCUGGAACUUUCUCGGGGAUCCACGCAAACAUGUGAUCCUUGUGACUGUCACACUGAACCACCGUUCUUACAGCAGCGACUGAAAUGCUUUGGGUUUACGUGUGUCAAGAACUCGAGGACCACAUUGAGCUGUGAAUCGUAAGAUAUGGGGCUCAGUGGCAAACCAAUGUGCGAAACUCAUGGCAGAUGCUUGAAGCCUACGCCCUUGUUUUGAGAUUGAAGUCCUCUCUGUAAGCGUCACACUUGUGAAGACGAGUACUAUAGAUGUACCAGUCUAGUUGUUAUUGUCACACUUUGUGAAGAGAUUGCAGGGGAGUGCGGAGACUUGUAGAUGGGUAUGCAGAGAUGGCUGCAGUUUGCCAAAUUUAUUAUUUUCUGCAUAUAAGUGUAAGUCUAUUGGCUUCAAUGAAAUUUUCUCUGAUUGCCACUGUA
Molecule: non-coding RNA, 1149 nt
Organism: Physcomitrium patens
Lineage: Eukaryota; Viridiplantae; Streptophyta; Bryopsida; Funariales; Funariaceae
Source: RefSeq, a predicted model, not a curated record